GGAGAAUACUCUGUGUAUCUAACUUAUUUAUCUAUUUAUUUUGAUAUAGAGUCUUGCUCUGUUGCCCAGACUGGAGUACAGUGGCAUGAUCUCUGCUCACUGCAACCUUCACCUCACGGGUUCAAGCGAUUCUCCUGCCUCAGCCUCAUGAGUAGCUGGGAUUACAGUGGCAGGAGCAUCCCUGCGAGAGGCCUGACCCAGGUGUGUAGCCCAAGCAGCCAGCCCGGAAAUCCAAUGGGGUGUUCUUGGGGUGCAGAGGAUUUGUGACAGUCCAUACACAGAAAAAGGAAAAGGUGGCUUUGAAGAGGCAAGUGCAAAGAUACCAGAGAUGGGGUAUUGUCAUUUUAGGCAGUGAAUUGACGGUUUCACUUACCAGGGAGCUCCCAUCGUGAGCUCCCAAAAGGCCUAACAACUGCUAGGCCCACGGGUCAUUAGCUCCACCUUUACGGAGAAGCUGCACUAUGCAUGUCAGAAGCGGGGUAGGCAGGGAUGAGGGAAAGGACGGGAUAAGGAAAGAAAAGAUGUGCGCUGAGCUGAGCUGCGGGAGGGUAAACCUAACUACGUAACAAUGAGCAGGCUGUGAGAGGCUCCUUGCCCCUUGCAGAUUUGUGAAAAAUCAAACUUCCGCCCAAGAAGCCGGCAUUUCAGGUAGGGGCGAUGAUGUCACAAUCACAGGUUGAGAUCUGCUGCCCAGGCCAUGCUUGCUCCCCGCAGGCAGGCGAGAUUUCGGAACAGCCAGGACCUCCUCCGCAUGGGGGAACCGCUCUAGACGCUCAGAGGGGCGGAGUUGAAACGGACCUGACUGGCCAGUGUCUCAAAGACGUGGAUGGUGACCAGCUCUCUCCAGAACAGAUGGCGCUCCAGCUUUGUGGGAGAAACUUUCAAGAUGGAGUCUUGCUCUGUUGCCCAGGCUGGAAUGCAAUGAUGCAAUCUCAGCUCACUGCAACCUCCAUCUCCCAGAUUCAAGUGGUUCUCCUGCCUCAGCCUCCCAAGUAGUUGGGACUACAGGUGCUGCCUUCAGGAGGGAUUAUGACAUAUGCCUGGACCAAACACCUGGAUGACGUGACACUCCUGCAUGAGCCUUGCCCUAAGGGGAUAUUUUUACAUGUUGGUGAACUCAGCAUCUAGGUGAUGUGACUCUACUCUUCUGCCUGGGCCCUGCCCACAGAGGGCAUUGGAACAUUUCACUUGGCUCAGCACCAAGAAGAUGUUACUCUCCUACCUGGACCUCUCCCACAGGGGACACCUAGAUGAUAUGAUUUUUCUUCCUGGUUCCUGCCCAGACUUCAAAUUGUGAUGUAUAUCUGGGCCCAAAACACAGGGUCCAGGCAACAGAGGAGAGACACAUCACCUAUAUGAUUGGCCCAGCGAUGGGUGAAAAUCCUCUCUGAGAGCAGGGCCCAUUCAGGAGAGUCAUAUCACCUAGCUGCUUGGCCAAGUGAAAUAUCACAAUGCACCCUUUGCACAGGGCCAAUACAGGACAGUUACAUCACCAGGGAGCUGGGUCCAGCUAUAUGUCACAAUUCCUUUUGUGGAAAGUGUCCAGGCAGAAAAGCAGAGUCACAUCACCUAGCCAGUGGGCCCAGAGAGAUGCCACAAUGCCAUUUGUAGGCUGGGCCCUGGGAGAAGAAUAACAUCACCCAGUUCUGGGCCCAGCAAUAUGUUGUGAUCCCAACUGGAAAAAGUUUCCAGACAAGAGAGGAGAAUCACAUCAUCAUGAUGAUAAGCCAAGAGAUUUCACAAUCCCCCCCUCUGCACAUGUCCCAGGCAGAAGACCUGAAUUACCUUUUUACUUAGGCCAGUAAUGUCACAGUGCUUCCUCAGGGCAGGGCACAAACAAGAUAGGACAGUCACAUCAUUAAGUGCUAGACUUAAUGCUAGAUAUGUCAUAACCUUACUUGUGGGCAGGAUCCAGGAAGGAGAGAUUUAUGUCACCUAGGUGCUCAGUAAAGAGAUAUAUUACAAUUACAAUUCCUUUGAGGGAAGUGGCCAGGCAAAAUAGUCACAUCACCUAGGUGCUUGGCCCAGGUAUAAGUCACAAGAUAUCUGUGUGUUGAGCCCAGAAGGACUAUCAAAUUACGAAGUUUCUACGUAGAAGUGCAUGUCACAGACACCUGCAGGAAGGCCCAGGAAUGAGACUCCCAAUUCCACACAUUUUCCCACUCCAAGUGUAAGAGUCAACAACUCCUGAGACUUAGGCCCAAGUACAUGAGUCACAAUCUCAACAGUGGAUUGCAUCCUGCCAUGAGAGCCCCAAUCCCUUCUCUAAGCUGUGUUCCAGUAGAGGAGUCACAACAUCAAUGGUGUGCUGAAUCCUGGUUGGAGAGUUCCCACUUCACCUGUGGACUGGAUCUGUAUAUGAGAGUCUCAAUUCCAGCUCUCAACUGCCCCUGGGUGUGAGAUUCAGGACCUCAAUUGUGAGCUGUGUACACAUGGACAUGUAACAAUUUCUACUUUUGGCUGUGUGUUCAUACAAGACUCAAUCUCAUCUGUGUUCUCGGCCCUGUUAUGACACUCUUUGUACCACCCAUGGGAUUUAUUCAAUACGCAUGGGUGUCAUAAUCCUCUGUGAUCUUCAUACAAGUAGAAGACCCAGGACCUUACCCAUGGCCCUAGGCCUAUCUAUGAGAAUUGACAUUUUUCCUCACAUUUUUAAUUUUAACAAAUAAGUUAUUCUCCUGUCAGUUCAGAUUCAUCAGGACAUUGAAUCAUAUUCAGAAGAAUUAAAACUGAAAGACUAAUAGCCAAUAGAUGAAAAAAGAUGCAAAGAAGACACAUUUGCUUUUUAUGCACACAUCACUUCCAGUCACUAUGUUGAGCAGAGUCAGUGUGAGGACAAUUGAGAAUAGCAGUUUUCUGGCAGGACAGCCACUUCUCAGCAGAAGAUGACACAAUAAAAGUAUAAAUCUUUCAUGGGAGGCUCACAUAUUUUCAGCAAAUUAAGCAUAUGCAUGAAUAAAAUUCUUGUGGUAAAAUAAA
RNAcentral lists this long non-coding RNA (2979 nucleotides) under Homo sapiens (human). RNAcentral's name for it is "HSALNT0341176". The record is from RNAcentral. Lineage: Eukaryota; Metazoa; Chordata; Mammalia; Primates; Hominidae.